GGAUGCCUACGGGACGCAGCAGUGAGGAAUAUUGCACAAUGGGGGAAACCCUGAUGCAGCGACGCCGCGUGAACGAGGAAGGUCUUCGGAUCGUAAAGUUCUGUUGAAGGGGAAAAAGAGCGGAGAGAGGAAAUGAACUCCGAUCGAUAUUACCCUUCGAGGAAGUCACGGCUAACUACGUGCCAGCAGCCGCGGUAAUACGUAGGUGGCGAGCGUUAUCCGGAAUGAUUGGGCGUAAAGGGUGCGUAGGCGGCCUGCUAAGUCUGGAGAGAAAGGUACCGGCUCAACCGGUACAGGCUCUGGAA
RNAcentral lists this ribosomal RNA (305 nucleotides) under uncultured bacterium. Its description in RNAcentral is "bacterial SSU rRNA". It matches the Rfam family "Bacterial small subunit ribosomal RNA", at positions 333 to 631 of the family's 1533-position model. The record is from RNAcentral.